CCCUUAGAUGUUCUGGGCUGCACGCGUGCUACACUGAUAUUGCCAAUAUGUCAUUCUUAUCCGAAAUGGAUUGGGUAGUCAAGUAAUGAGAUUUCAUGCUUGGAAUCGGUAAUUGCAAUUUUAUCGUGAACGAGGAAUUCCUAGUAAGCACUAGUCAUCAGCUAAUGUUGAUUAUGUCCCUGCCCUUUGUACACACCGCCCGUCGCUACUACUGAUUGGGUGUUCAAGUGAGAUGCUUAGACCCUUGUUGCAUGGUUCAUUAUUGUGCUCCGAAAGGAAAAAGUUUCAAGCUUGAGUGUCUAGAGGAAGUAAAAGUCGUAACA
RNAcentral lists this ribosomal RNA (323 nucleotides) under uncultured eukaryote. RNAcentral's name for it is "partial 18S ribosomal RNA". It matches the Rfam family "Eukaryotic small subunit ribosomal RNA", at positions 1470 to 1796 of the family's 1831-position model. The record is from RNAcentral.